This 31-nucleotide non-coding RNA is filed under the name Mus musculus (house mouse). Lineage: Eukaryota; Metazoa; Chordata; Mammalia; Rodentia; Muridae. The record is from RNAcentral.
GACACAGAUUGCCACGUUGAUUACAAAAUGU